UACGUAGGGGGCUAGCGUUGUCCGGAAUCAUUGGGCGUAAAGCGCGUGUAGGCGGUUCGGUAAGUCCGCUGUGAAAGUCGGGGGGCUCAACCCUCGGAUGCCGGUGGAUACUGUCGGACUAGAGUGCGGAAGAGGCGAGUGGAAUUCCUGGUGUAGCGGUGAAAUGCGCAGAUAUCAGGAGGAACACCGAUUGCGAAGGCAGCUCGCUGGGACGUUACUGACGCUGAGACGCGAAGGCGUGGGGAGCAAACAGG
This 254-nucleotide ribosomal RNA is filed under the name uncultured bacterium. Its description in RNAcentral is "partial 16S ribosomal RNA". It matches the Rfam family "Bacterial small subunit ribosomal RNA", at positions 524 to 776 of the family's 1533-position model. The record is from RNAcentral.